This 2376-nucleotide long non-coding RNA is filed under the name Homo sapiens (human). RNAcentral's name for it is "long intergenic non-protein coding RNA 299". Lineage: Eukaryota; Metazoa; Chordata; Mammalia; Primates; Hominidae. The record is from RNAcentral.
GAUGUUCAAGUUUGUGAAACAGGCUUUCCCUUUAAGAUUUGUUUUCCUCAAAAUACAAGACUAUUGAUGCUUCAGUUUUGAAGUGGAUUCUGCACUCAAGAAAUGUACCAUUGAAGAAUGGGACUGGUAGGAAGGGAAAAAAACUAAAAGGAAACGCAUUUUCGAGUUGCACAUCAUGAUCAGGCACAGAGUCCAGAUACACUUGGAGUAGCAAGCAUCCAUCCUUGUGGAGACGCACAUGAACCAGGACUCUCUGCACCCACCCCUCUCAAGUUUUAUUUUCCGACGGCUGUAAUGUUCCAGGACACCUGCCAUCAUGGAGGGUUAUCCAGCACCUGGAGGAUACCUGCUACCUAUUUUGUGAACAAUUUGGCAUGAGGAGAGAAAGGAACCUGAAGUUUUUAGCAAGGAAGGGCCCUGAUGAUGGUUGCCUUCAACAUUGCCUCAAUACUCAACAUCCAAGACAGCCCUGGCUUAGCAACUGGAAUCACGGAUGGGGAAAAUUUUUUCUCAAGCACAUGUGAAAUUUGGCUGUCAGACCACCUUCAUCUGCACAGAAAGCUAAAUGUAUUGCCUAGUUUUGCAACUUCAUAUGACUGUUCGCCAAACUGGAAUAAUUGUUGCAUUUGUGUGUGACUUCUCAGUAUUCCUAUGGCAUUACCACCAUAGCACCCCUAUGUCAAAUGGUGAAAGAAUUAGGUGAGGUUUUGUGAACGUUUAGAGUAACUUUGUUUUUUUGCAUCAACAUUCAAGAAGCACUCCUUCCCUUCCACUGCAGUAGAACCUUGAGGUCCCUCUCAGAUUUCUGUGGGGUGUCUGUGGUCUGCUGGAGCAUGGCCAGGUCUGGGCAGCUGUCACUUUCCUUCUGCUUCCCAGUACAGAGGCCUAUCUGGUGCUCAGAAAAGCUUCCUAAGUAAGAAUGCAGGUGUCUCACAUUAAGAAGGGAACCUUCUGUCCAUCUCCAGCUUAAGUAUCAACGUAUCCAGCAGCCUCAAGUCUAUCCAAACCUUAUUCAUUUUUCCCCACUUUGUUUUCAUAAUUUGACCACAGAACUGAGCGUCAAGUAUAUAUGAACCCAAGUUGUUUGUUCUCUUGUAGUUUGUUUUAGUGUUGUUCUUUCAGAUUAUAAUCUCAGGGCAGGAGUUCUGUCAAAAUUCUCACUUGAUCUUAAAAAGCCAAUUACAGGGCAAGAUGAAAAGUGGCUUCUUAGUAAACAUUUGCUAGCUUGAUACCUGACUCCACUCCUGCCUAUUAAAAGCAUUUCGCUUGAAAGUAUGCAAUGGUUAGAAGCAUCUAGAAAGUCGAGGUCUGAUGAUUUCACACACAUAUUUUGGGGUGCUAAAUUAAAGCUCUCCUUUGUAAAACAGUGCAUGAUGUCUUGGUGCUCUCAGGAUUGAAUGGUGAACAUACUGGCAGAGGCAAUUUCAGAUCCAAGUGAAAGACAGUUUUCACCUGGUGGUAAGGGUAGAUGUGUACUGAAACAACAAUCUAGGGCCGUCUUCUUUGUACCACAAGCUUAAUAAUUUGUAUGGCUAUGCUGUCUUCUUAGCUGCUUGCUGGUGGUGAAAAUCAGUUAUUUUCACUGGCUGAUUGACAGUUGGCCAGCACUGACCCUUCUGAAGACCUGUAUUUAUUUCUUGGAGGGGGUACCCUUGGUUUUAUUUUAUUCCUUUUGCGCCCUCACCCUACUUCAUGCCUUGCUGGGAAUAGGAACAGUGGUGCAGACUUAAGAGAAGAGGCCAAGGAAGAGCAAGUGAAAUCUGCUGGUCACCGUAGAUUUAAGCCCUUAGGAGACAGGGUUGUGUUUCUCCUCCUGGCAGAGUUGCAAUGAGACAAUGUCUAUCAAAUACAAGAAGAGUGGCUGAGUUCAAGGAGGGGUAGAAAUCUGUCAAUGAAAAAUUCUAUAUCACAUUGAAGUUUGGUCAUAGAAGGUAGCUUCUGGUGUUCUGCCCCCUAACCAUGGCAUGCCAUGAUUUAGUCCGUAAUGGACACAGCUUAGUGGAGUUUGUUUCAUCUCCAAACUUCACUCAUUGUUUAAAGAUACUGGCUAGGUGUCAGCACAGCCUGGGCCAGGGAGAGACGAUGGCCCAUUAGUCAUCAUCUGUCAUGCCUAUGGACUGUAGGGACCAGAGCAUUUACACUCAGAAUCACAGAGAUAAUUAGCACAUUGAUGUCAUUGUUCCUAACCACUGAGGCCAUUGAUCCUGUCCCCAGCCUGACUUGAAGGUCUUUGGGAGUUCAGCCAGCCUCCCAACCUGCCUACCACUUUGUUCUAAGAAUCCUACUCAACAGUGGCUUGCAUUUUCUGCUUCUAAGUGGCUUUGCGAUUAUGUAGAAAUUCAUGACGUGAUUUUGUCCUGAUUGAAUAAAGUGCAU